Long non-coding RNA from Carassius gibelio (silver crucian carp), 4906 nucleotides. RefSeq lists it as uncharacterized. The transcript is spliced from 2 exons. The record is from RefSeq and is a predicted model, not a curated record. Lineage: Eukaryota; Metazoa; Chordata; Actinopteri; Cypriniformes; Cyprinidae.
UCUGCUGUUUUGGCACACGCUUUGCAUGCAGAGGAGAUGCAGAUGGCGAAGAAGGAAAGAGUGAAAGCCAAAACCGACAAGGAGUGACAGCUGGCGGUAGUGCAAGCCGUGUCGAGGCCGGGGGGCUAUCCUGCGCAGCGAAUCCAGCAGUGGAAAGCGGGAAGAUGGAAAAGAAAAGGAGGAAGAUAUCCGAACGAAACUGAAAGAAACUCUGAAAGAUGGGGUUGUCGGAUCUGCAAGACUGAUGAACAUGAGAUAUCGAAUUGUACCAGAUACAGACUGUGCAAAAAGGACAGUCAUUGGGCGAAGGAUUGCCCGGAGAACCGGCGAAAUCAACAAGCAUACUGAAGCGAGGGAGACGGAGAGCAGAGAGGAGGGGUCCUGGGCGAGCAACCAACAGUCACAAGUCAGGGAAGUGAAAAUGUUCUAACCGCAAACACAUACACAUACACUGAUGUACUUUCUGCUCUCUGCAAUGAAGAUAACGCUUGCUUUCCUUUGAGUAUGUCUGAUUCUAUUGAUAAGCAUACUGACAAAUGUGCUAUUAUGUUUAAAAUUGAAGCUUUUAUGAAAAUGCCUAAAUAUCCUAUGCUAGUAGAGGGGAUAUUGAUUGAGUUUUUAGCUGAUAUAAUAUAUACAGCCAUGUGAUCUGCAAUGCCAACCACAAUUAACAAGCGAAAUUAAUGAGUCAAUUUCUGCAUCAGGGCACGUAAUUUGUGAAAGGUUCACAGUGCCUCUGAACUGUGAAACAAAAGGGGGUGAGGUGCUGAGGCAUGCUUUUCUCUAAAAACUGUGUUUAUGCCAAAGACUGGAGACAGAUAGGGGAGGGGGUGAAACACAGUGAGAGUCUGGGAGCGUUUAUGACUGAGUGCAAGCAUGACAUUGAAACAGAGAGAGUUGUGGUACUCAUUGACAAAAGUCAGAGGGGGGUCAUUGCAUGGCAAUCGUUUGCGCCUCAGAAAUACAUCCAGCAUUAACAAAAGUGCCAUCAGAGUUAUGGGCAAAACACAAAUAUGAUGUGGGUUUGAUUAAAGGAUGUGAACCAGUUGUGGUUACCCCAAAAUCUGAUUACAGACCAUGUCAACGUCAAUACCUUCUAAAACAAGAGGCAAUUCUUGGUAUAGAACCGGUAUUUGAGUCACUAUUAAAGGAGGGAAUAAUGGUACCAUGCAAUGAUUCCCCAGUUCGCACUCCAAUUUUUCCUGUAAAAAAGAUAAGGAAUGUGGGUCAGCCCACAGAGUGGCGAUUUGUACAAGAUUUACAGGCGGUGAACGCUGCUUUCAUGCAAAGGGCUCCAUCAGUACCAAAUCUGUACACAAUUUUAUCACAAAUACCACAAGAUGCAACAUUCUUCUCAGUGGUAGAUUUGGCAAAUGCAUUUUUUAGUGUGCCAGUUGAUAAAGACAUCCAAUUCUGAUUUGCAUUUGAAUUUGAGGGCAAAGGUUACAACGAAGCCCUAAGAAGGAGUUUGGAAGCUUUGACCCUGACAGCAGGUACAGCUUUGUUACAGUAUGUGGAUGAUCUUUGCUUGUGUGCUCUUGAUGAGCUUAAAUGUGUAAACUGCAGUUCGUAAAACAACAGAUUACAUUCCUGGGGUACCUAAUAACACCAAAUAGCAAAUCACUGUCUGAAAAAGGGGUUAAAGCUAUAAAAGAGGCCCCAAAACCAGUAACAAAGAAACAAAUGCUUAAUUUUUGGGGAUGUGUUCCUAAUGAAGAACAUGUAUUCCAAAUUAUAACAUUUUUGAGCUGCCCCUGAGAACCCUGAGAGGGAAGGGGUUGAAUUUAUGUGACAGGAUUGAGUGGACAGAGAAAGUGGAAGAGGCAUUUCUGAACAUGAAAGUUCAGCUGUCUGUUGCGCCAACUCUGGGCUUGCAGGCCCCAAAUAAACCCUUUGUUCAGAUGGUUGAUGAGAAAAAUGUAUUUAUGACUUCUGUAUUGUUGCAGCAUCAUGGAGACAGAUUGAGACCCGUGGCAUAUUUUUCCAGCAAACUGGACCCAGUUGCAGCCGGUCUGCCACACUGUCUGAGGGCCGUGGCAGCUGCUGAGAUGGCCGUGAUGGCUUCUAGAGAAUUCAGGAGGAUGGGGAGGAGCAUCAUUGUUGUUUAACAGCAAUCGAACAAGUGUGUACACCACGUCCAGACCUGUCUGACGUGCCACUCGAAAAUUGUGAAAAUGUCCUCUUUGUGGAUGGCUCAGCUUUUAAAGAUCCACAAACAGGCCUGAAUAAGGUUGGUAAUGCAAUAACAACUGAAUUUGACAUUGUGGCCUCUGGCUCAUUGCCAUCAAAUUAUUCAGCACAAGCAGCUAAGCUUUUGGCAUUAACAGAAAUAUGCAAACUAAUGACAGACAAAUGCGUAACGAUUUACACAGAUUCACGAUAUGCAUUCGGGGUUACUCAUGAUUUUGGGGCGCUGUGGAAACAGAAAGUUUUUAAAGUCAGAUGGGCGACCAAUAUUAAAUGCACCCCUUGUGGCAGAUUUGUUAGUCACUAUUUUGCUGCCAGAAAAGAUAGCGAUUUGUAAAUGCGCAAAAUCAUCAGAGUGUACUUUGUUAUCUGAAAAUAACCCUGACAUUUCUUCAUCUUUACAGGGCAUGCAGACAUUUGCGACAGGGCAGGAGAGAGAGAAAUGGAAACAGUGUGGCUGUGAAGUGGUGAAUGGAGUAUGGAUGAGCAGAUAUGGCAAGCCUUGUUUACCUAAAACACUUCUUUCCUCACUAUGCUAAGUCGAUGCAUGGGAAAGACCACGCAUCGAAAGGGGGAAUGAUUAUGCAAAUUAAAGAAUUGUGGUUUACAAAAGGGUCCAAAAUUUAUGCAGAAAAUUUUUGAAAAAGAUGUGUCAUUUGUAAUACACAUAAUGUGGCAAGAGGCAUAAAAAUGUCUCACGUAUUCCAGCAAGCCCUUUGAAUAUUUACAGAUGGAUUUCAUUGAACUGUUCCCAUGUGAAGGGAAGGGAAAAUGGUUUGGUAUUUGUGGACAUGUGGUCCAAAUGGGUAGUGGUCUGCCCAAUGUCCAAACAGGAUGCAGCAGCAGUAGUAAGGGCUCUCCUGACUGAAAUAGCCCCGAGAUGGGGAAAUUCCACGAAAAAGCAGUUCAGACAAUGAAACACAUUUUGUGUAGGGGCAAUAAAAAUCUAAUUGGCUAAGUGUUGUGAGAAAACUGGACUCACAUGGGUUAAGGUGCUCCCAAUCGUUCUCAUGUACAUGAGAAUGAGAAAUCGAUCCAGAGUAAACCUGAGCCCUUUUGAAAUUCUCUUUGGCAACCCACCAUUUGUGAGUAUUGAAAGUGGGUAAACAAAAGCUACCAUCUACAGGUGUGUGAGCAUGACAUGUUGAGUUAUUGCAAGGAAAUGUCUUCUCUGUUGUCUAAUGUCUGUGUUCAGGUGAAAGUUGCUCAGGAGAAGGUUGCUGAAACACCAUUGCACAACCUGAAACCAGGGGAUUUCGUGGUGGUAUGAGAUCUGAGGAGAAAGUGGCUGGGACCGUUCCAGGUGCUUCUGACCACUCACACGGCUGUGAAGGGAGCAGAGAGAGCAACGUGGUUCCAGGCUAGCCACUGCAGAAAGGUCCCACCUGCAUCCGAGGAAGAGGAGCUGAGGGAGUAAGGAUCUGGAGACACACACGUCAACAAGACCGGAAUCCAGCCUAAACAUCAAGAGUCCUUAUCAGCGGGAAGAGCAAGGUUAAGACUGAAAAACAGCAUCGAAGAAGUCUGUGCGCAAGUGAAAAGAUAACUAUGAGCAUCAUAGUUGAGUACAUCAUGUUGUUUUCAUAUUCCAGACUACAGUGACAAUGUUAUCAAUAUCAUCACACACAUGAGAAUGGCCGUAAAAGAGCCUGAACGUACACAUAAUGCUGCUAAAUGAUUUUUGCUGCUAUUAUGUCUACUAUGUAUUUUUUUAGUUGAUAUCCAGCUCAGUACAGAGACUGAAGUUUAACAUUUAACAUCAAAUGGUUCAAAUGAUGCGUACAAUGAAGACAUUAUGAUGGAUUUGAACAGGGAGAAAGUAAUUGAUGAAGGGACAAACAGUAGUGGAAGCUACAGUGAAAUGUGUUAAAUGUAUGAGAUUUAUGAGAUUAUUUUCUUUGAAGUAAGUAAUGUUCAGGCCUAUCUGAAUCUAUACUGUUUGCUUGCUUGAAAUAGGGUCUGUCCCCAUAUAAAAAGCCUUAGCAUAUUUUCUAACUUCUUUUACAAACUUAAGAGGGUGAUCAUUUAUGAGAAAACGAGGGAUGAAGAGGAUAAAUGUGAUGAAAUACCUUAAGUUUGCUUUAUUUUGAAUCAUGAUUGUAUUUCUGAGUGUGAAUUUUUUGAUUUUGGAUUGUGUUUGUAUCUGCGACGUGACUGGGGGUCUGACUAAAUGUCAGGAAUGCAGUAGCAGUGACUUACUCGUUUAGCCCGGCGCCCAGAGCAAACAUAAUGUUAAGUGUGUAGUGAAAAUAUAACCAGUAGAAAUGAAUUUUUAUGUUUUAUUGAUCAAUGAAUGAUAAAAAAGGGGAAAUUGUGGUGGAAAAAUUCAUGUAACAUUGCUUCUGUAUACCUAUAUAAGCAUGUGGUUUCUUUGAAUUGCUGUGUGGGUUCAGAGGGAUAACACCUGGGGGAAAACAGAUGUCUGAGUAUGACCUGAGAGGGUCAUUGGGCCAUAUAGUGGGGGGACAAUGCCUGAGGAUGACCCGAGGGGGUCACCUAAGUCCUAAAUGUGUGAGAAACAGCCCAUAGAGAGUGUUCCUUGUUAUGUGUGGAAAUUUACAGCUGUUCAGACUCUGUAACCUUGAAGCAGCUGAGGUAUAUAAGGUGGACGACUGCACUCUUCCUGGGUCGGUUUCACUCUGCAGGAACUCAGUGUUGCUGUAUGACUGUAUGACUGUCUGACCUUCUUUGCAAAGAAUAAAAGCUUUCUUUUUAAUUA